GAUGAACGCUGGCGGCGUGCUUUACACAUGCAAGUCGAACGAUGAAGCCCAGCUUGCUGGGUGGAUUAGUGGCGAACGGGUGAGUAACACGUGAGUAACCUGCCCUUAACUCUGGGAUAAGCCUGGGAAACUGGGUCUAAUACCGGAUAGGAGCGUCCACCGCAUGGUGGGUGUUGGAAAGAUUUAUCGGUUUUGGAUGGACUCGCGGCCUAUCAGCUUGUUGGUGAGGUAAUGGCUCACCAAGGCGACGACGGGUAGCCGGCCUGAGAGGGUGACCGGCCACACUGGGACUGAGACACGGCCCAGACUCCUACGGGAGGCAGCAGUGGGGAAUAUUGCACAAUGGGCGCAAGCCUGAUGCAGCGACGCCGCGUGAGGGAUGACGGCCUUCGGGUUGUAAACCUCUUUCAGUAGGGAAGAAGCGAAAGUGACGGUACCUGCAGAAGAAGCACCGGCUAACUACGUG
This 466-nucleotide ribosomal RNA is filed under the name uncultured bacterium. Its description in RNAcentral is "partial 16S ribosomal RNA". It matches the Rfam family "Bacterial small subunit ribosomal RNA", at positions 28 to 507 of the family's 1533-position model. The record is from RNAcentral.